GCAUCAUCAAAGCUUGCUUUGAUGGAUGGCGACCGGCGCACGGGUGAGUAACACGUAUCCAACCUGCCGACAACACUGGGAUAGCCUUUCGAAAGAAAGAUUAAUACCGGAUGGCAUAGUUUUCCCGCAUGGGAUAAUUAUUAAAGAAUUUCGGUUGUCGAUGGGGAUGCGUUCCAUUAGGCAGUUGGCGGGGUAACGGCCCACCAAACCUACGAUGGAUAGGGGUUCUGAGAGGAAGGUCCCCCACAUUGGAACUGAGACACGGUCCAAACUCCUACGGGAGGCAGCAGUGAGGAAUAUUGGUCAAUGGACGAGAGUCUGAACCAGCCAAGUAGCGUGAAGGAUGACUGCCCUAUGGGUUGUAAACUUCUUUUAUACGGGAAUAAAGUGAGCCACGUGUGGCUUUUUGUAUGUACCGUAUGAAUAAGGAUCGGCUAACUCCGUGCCAGCAGCCGCGGUAAUACGGAGGAUCCGAGCGUUAUCCGGAUUUAUUGGGUUUAAAGGGAGCGUAGGCGGGUUGUUAAGUCAGUUGUGAAAGUUUGCGGCUCAACCGUAAAAUUGCAGUUGAUACUGGCGACCUUGAGUGCAACAGAGGUAGGCGGAAUUCGUGGUGUAGCGGUGAAAUGCUUAGAUAUCACGAAGAACUCCGAUUGCGAAGGCAGCUUACUGGAUUGUA
This 676-nucleotide ribosomal RNA is filed under the name uncultured Bacteroidales bacterium. RNAcentral describes it as "bacterial SSU rRNA". It matches the Rfam family "Bacterial small subunit ribosomal RNA", at positions 69 to 738 of the family's 1533-position model. Lineage: Bacteria; Pseudomonadati; Bacteroidota; Bacteroidia; Bacteroidales. The record is from RNAcentral.